This is a long non-coding RNA of Microtus oregoni (creeping vole), 1465 nucleotides long. RefSeq lists it as uncharacterized. The record is from RefSeq and is a predicted model, not a curated record. The transcript has 4 exons. NCBI's taxonomy places the organism in Eukaryota, Metazoa, Chordata, Mammalia, Rodentia, Cricetidae.
CUUGUAGAUAAAUGAGAAAACAAAGGAAAAGCACCUUGGCCUUCCAUGGUGGCUCAAGCUACAGGAAGGAAUCCUUUGUGGGUGAGCAAAGGAAGAGAAAGACCAGUUAGCCAGGUCUGCUGUGAAUAUCCUUCUGUCCUUUUUCUGGGUUGAUGAAGCCUAGAGUUGUCCUCAGCCUUUGGAAGAACAGACCUAAACCAAAACUGAAAUAAAAAAAAAAAAUUACUGAUCUUCCUGACAGAGAUGGUGAAGAGGGAGGUAAAGAUUCUUCCCUCCAAACACGAUUACCUGAGUGUGAGCUCCAGGAUCCACGCCGUGGAAGGAGAGAACCAAUUCCUGUGAGUUGUCUUCUGAGCUCCGCACUCAAUCCAUGGCAGUGAAGCUCAGUGUUCUGGAUAUGUAGCCCAAUAGGUGAUACGAAGUAGAAAUUGGGAUCGUUAUGGCUAAUCCGAGUAUGCCGGAAGAGUCUAAGUCUAACGUAUGAAACCCACAAACUGAAAUGAAUGGUAGAACUGGAUGGAGCUGUCUACUGAAGAAUCGGCACCAAGGCUUAAGCAGAGCAACCAAUCACAGUCACCACGGAGCCAACUGCUGCAACCAUGUACAGAUAGUAUCGGUCAUAACAAAGUGCAUCUGGCAGCUGUGGUGCAGAGUCAGCAAGAGAGGCCCUGUUUUCACUUCAUGGCCUGGCUUCGUCUUAAGUUUGAACAAGAGUUCUCAGGCCUGACUCUGCCUUUGGACGUGUUCCCAAACAUAAGAAUCCUAAAGUUGCAUAAAAUUAUACACCAGGAAGCUAAAGAAAAAAGAAGAUUGUUUAAAUGAAACACCAUGAGAUCCGAAGACAUUCUUACGUGUAGGUUACUUUUAAUUUUAGAAAGCAAAUUUAGUAGAUAACCAGUAGCAAAACCAUGCCAAACAUUCUGUGAAAGUAAUAUGCAGAAUGACCUCACUGUGGUAAAAUACAGGAUGUAUAAAUAUACAUGGGCUUGCCAAGGUCAGAUGUUUUGCUAAGUGCUUUAUAUAUAGUGUUUUAUGUGUAUAACUGAGAAAAAUCCAGAGAGGUACUUCUUACUUGCCCCCUUCAUAUCCACCAUCUUUAUGGUACCAAUUACGAAAACAAGUUAUAUAAUCAAGCCACAUGCCCAUCAGUAAAUCAACAGAUGAAGAUAAUGUGACACACAUGUACAUUCGAGGUUGGUUGGAAGAGAAUCAACAACAAAAUUAUCACAGUUCUACAAUGAAGCCUAUUGUGCGGCGUGCUAAUUAAAAAGUAAACCAGCAAAAAGGAUGGAAGUGUCGACCAUUAUGUGUUAAGCACAAUAGACAGAGUCAUAAAGGCGAAUAUCACAUGGCUCCUCUGUUAUCUAGAAGCUACAUUUGAAAUGCAUGUGCUUAAGAAGCGAGGCAGAAGGGCAUGAUUUAGGUGGAGGUGGGUGGACCAGAGGGAAGGAAAAGAGGAAUGAGA